RNAcentral lists this ribosomal RNA (275 nucleotides) under uncultured bacterium. RNAcentral describes it as "partial 16S ribosomal RNA". It matches the Rfam family "Bacterial small subunit ribosomal RNA", at positions 335 to 597 of the family's 1533-position model. The record is from RNAcentral.
ACUCCUACGGGAGGCAGCAGUAGGGAAUAUUGCGCAAUGGACGAAAGUCUGACGCAGCCACGCCGCGUGAGUGAGGAAGGCCUUCGGGUUGUAAAGCUCUGUCAUCCGGGAAAACGGCUAUCUGGGAAGAUUCAGGUAGCGUGAUGGUACCGGAGGAGGAAGCACCGGCAAACUCUGUAGCCAGCAGCCGCGGCUAAUACCAGAGGGUACAAGCGUUGGUUCGGAAAUUACUGGGCGUAAAGCGUGCGUAGUCGGAUAUUGAGAGUCACGGGUUG